This is a long non-coding RNA of Daphnia pulex (common water flea), 402 nucleotides long. RefSeq lists it as uncharacterized. NCBI's taxonomy places the organism in Eukaryota, Metazoa, Arthropoda, Branchiopoda, Diplostraca, Daphniidae. The transcript has 2 exons. The record is from RefSeq and is a predicted model, not a curated record.
ACAAUGUCCGCUCUAGCUCGUUGACACUUAAUUGAAAGAAGUAACAAACAAAGGUAACAAAUAACUUUCAUAAUACUCACGUAAUAUUCUCCCCACCAAAUUUCACCUAAGCCAACACGCAGCAUCACACGUCACAAGUAUACACAACAGACGAAAUCCCCAAGGUGAUAAUGAACGCCAAUCCAAAUUCUACAAGGAUGAGAAGGCAGUGAUAUUCGUUCAUGUGCCUCCUCUAUGGCAUCUGUAAAUGAUUCCAGGCGUUUCAGAACCCGGGCAACAGCACUUGGACAGUGGAUUGCUGAAAGGAAAAACACCAAGUUGGUACUGCAAGAAAAGGCAACUACAGCCAAUGAUGGCGAAGAUGAAAAAUCCUUUCUACACUACCCUGUCUCACAACAACAG